RNAcentral lists this ribosomal RNA (399 nucleotides) under uncultured bacterium. RNAcentral's name for it is "bacterial SSU rRNA". It matches the Rfam family "Bacterial small subunit ribosomal RNA", at positions 30 to 429 of the family's 1533-position model. The record is from RNAcentral.
AUUGAACGCUGGCGGCAUGCCUUACACAUGCAAGUCGAACGGCAGCACGGGAGCAAUCCUGGUGGCGAGUGGCGAACGGGUGAGUAAUAUAUCGGAACGUGCCCAGUCGUGGGGAUAACGUAGAGAAAUUUACGCUAAUACCGCAUACGAUCUAAGGAUGAGAGCGGGGGGAUUCGCAAGAACCUCGCGCGAUUGGAGCGGCUGAUAUCAGAUUAGGUUGUUGGUGAGGUAAAAGCUCACCAAGCCGACGAUCUGUAGCUGGUUUGAGAGAACGACCAGCCACACUGGGACUGAGACACGGCCCAGACUCCUACGGGAGGCAGCAGUGGGGAAUUUUGGACAAUGGGCGCAAGCCUGAUCCAGCAAUGCCGCGUGCAGGAUGAAGGCCUCGGUUGUAAC